RNAcentral lists this ribosomal RNA (468 nucleotides) under uncultured bacterium. Its description in RNAcentral is "partial 16S ribosomal RNA". It matches the Rfam family "Bacterial small subunit ribosomal RNA", at positions 28 to 507 of the family's 1533-position model. The record is from RNAcentral.
GACGAACGCUGGCGGCGUGCUUAACACAUGCGAGUCGAACGGAAAGGCCCUGCUUUUGUGGGGUGCUCGAGUGGCGAACGGGUGAGUAACACGUGAGUAACCUGCCCUUGACUUUGGGAUAACUUCAGGAAACUGGGGCUAAUACCGGAUAGGAGCUCCUGCUGCAUGGUGGGGGUUGGAAAGUUUCGGCGGUUGGGGAUGGACUCGCGGCUUAUCAGCUUGUUGGUGGGGUAGUGGCUUACCAAGGCUUUGACGGGUAGCCGGCCUGGGAGGGUGACCGGCCACAUUGGGACUGAGAUACGGCCCAGACUCCUACGGGAGGCAGCAGUGGGGAAUAUUGCACAAUGGGCGGAAGCCUGAUGCAGCAACGCCGCGUGCGGGAUGACGGCCUUCGGGUUGUAAACCGCUUUCGCCUGUGACGAAGCGUGAGUGACGGUAAUGGGUAAAGAAGCACCGGCUAACUACGUG